UUGAAGUUUCUGGUAGACGCCACGCAUGAACACAAUCCUCGUUUCUUCGUUUCUUCUUUCUUCUCUUCUUUCACUCUUAUAAAUACCACACACCAUUCUCUUCCUCCAAAACACAUUUUCUCAGAUACCCUUUUAUUUUCUCAACUUUUCCACAGUUUUCUCGCUUCAUUUUCCCGGAAAAAAAAAAAUGAAAACUCUGAACUUUGUCGCCUUUCCACUUCUCACUUUGUUGUUCAUCGCAAUCUCUCAUUUGGGUCACGCCCAGGAUUUGCCUUCUCCAGCACCUUCUCCUACCAGUGAUGGCACCACAAUUGAUCAAGGAAUUGCUUACAUUCUUAUGCUGGUGGCUCUGGGCAUCACAUACAUGAUUCAUUGAUUUUUCUUUGUUUUUUUUUUCUCUUACUGUUAUGGUGGCCAUAUCAGAGAAAAAUUCAGAAUUUUUGUGCUGUAAUUAUUACCAUUGUUGAUGAAAUUCAAUAUUAUUCCUUCUAUUACAUUC
Vigna unguiculata (cowpea) is the source of this 499-nucleotide long non-coding RNA. The record is from RefSeq and is a predicted model, not a curated record. Lineage: Eukaryota; Viridiplantae; Streptophyta; Magnoliopsida; Fabales; Fabaceae.